CAACUGCAAACUUGACAUUAACUUUGGGUGUCACUUUACGUUUUCGAUUUUUAUUUAUUAAAUUUAAAACAAAUUGUUGAGCGAUUUGUUAAAUUCAAGUGAUUUCUGAUUAAUCGCUCAAGAUGAUUGCCUUAAUGAACAGGAUAUUAGACUGGUUUAAAAGUCUCUUUUGGAAGGAAGAAAUGGAAUUAACUUUGGUUGGACUGCAGUAUUCAGGAAAAACAACCUUUGUUAAUGUUAUUGCUUCGGGUCAAUUCAGUGAAGACAUGAUUCCAACAGUUGGCUUCAACAUGAGGAAAAUUACCAAGGGCAAUGUAACCAUUAAAGUGUGGGACAUCGGAGGCCAGCCUAGGUUUAGAUCGAUGUGGGAACGUUAUUGUAGAGGAGUGAAUGCCAUCGUGUAUAUGGUAGAUGCGGCAGAUCCUGAUAAAAUUGAGGCUUCUAGAAAUGAAUUGCAUAAUUUAUUGGACAAACCUCAGUUAGCCGGUAUUCCUGUGUUAGUCUUGGGCAAUAAAAGAGAUAAGCCCCAAGCUCUAGACGAAAAUGGCCUUAUUGAAAGAAUGAAUCUCUCUGCUAUACAAGACCGUGAGAUCUGCUGUUAUUCGAUAUCUUGUAAAGAAAAAGACAACAUUGAUAUAACUUUGCAAUGGUUGAUCGCGCACUCCAAAUCUGGUAUGCGUUAAAUUACUAAAACAAUUGUAGUAUAUACAAAAAGUCAACUUUAAGGAUACACACUACCUACUACUAUACAAAGUAAACAUAUUUUUCGUUGAACUUGGUCAGUGGAGGUUGUAAUUUUGAUAGUAUCCAAUGUGGCAGUUGCAAUUUGUGUUUCAAGGUGGUUUGUUUCAUUUUACAGUCCACAAUUAACAACACAAUUAACAAUUAGUAAUUUUGAAAGAUUACAUUACAUCCCACCAGUCUUUCAUUUAAAUUAUUUUUUUAAUUGUCCUACCGCUACCUUCUACAGUGGUACUUAUCAUAACUAGUUUAAGCUUCUAUGUUUUAUUUGUUAGUUAAAUCGAUUAAAACAUAGCCUCUCUGAACCUUAGUUAUUAAUUGUGAAAAAACAUCACCUUACUUUACGUAGUAUACCUCAAACUAAUUAUUCUAAAAAUGUGCAACAAACCACUAAAAAAUGAUCACAGUGUCCCAAAUAGCUUAAAGUAAAGUACACAUAUAUGCAUUCGCAAUUAUGACGAUAUUGAUGACGUAGUAAAGAAAUGGUUGAGCACAGAUGUCACAGAUUUUGACGAAAAACGUUUUUUUGCAAAGAGUAGCGAGUGUUUUUCCCUUUAAGGCAAUAUGUUAUUGAUUUAAAAGACUAAAAAUCUUAAUAUUGAUUCAUCUAUCGCAUUCAAUGAUUCUAAUUACACUUAAUGUAUACGUUUGCCUCGUAGCAUGAUCGUGAUAAUAGUAGCGAUUACGUAUAUGCAUUCAACAGACUAAGCGUACAUUUGAACGUUUGUCUCUUAUUUGCAACAAAGGGUUGUCUUUUUAGUUUUGCAUAUAGCCAUAAAGACAAAAAAUGUGUAGACUUAAAGUACUUUAUUGCUUUUCAAAAUAUGUCUCACCAAGAUCGAUACACUAAAUUAGGCCAGUCUUCAGUUGACACUUGCAAAAUCGCUGUUUUAAAGGCAUUAUGGUGGUACGGGGGUUGCAACCGCCGAUGAUGGGGUUGAUUAAGUUAAAACACUAAUUACCGGAAUACAUUUAUUUAAGUUACCAUGUACGACAGUAAAUAGUUGGUGUAAGGGAUGGAAACGUCUAUACUCUAACCACGUCGGUUUUUGAAUAAUGAAUAAUCUCUUUCUUUACUUUCUACGUGUCUAUAAAUAAAUCCCAAUUGUUUGUUAUGAUUGACCAUACUUGAAUGUGACCGUGAAUUAGUAAUAGCAGUGUAAUUGCUGACUUCGGUGUUUUCAAAAUGCGUGGCCUAGAUUACAAAACCAAUGUCACUCAUUUACGAAAUCCAAACAAUGCAUGUAAAUAAUAUUUGCUUAAGACCUUUAAAAAAUUAAAUCGAUAUGGAUUAACUCUUAUUUUUUGGAUACUAAUAUAAAUCCUUUACAUGGAUGGCUGCUUCUUGCGACUGUAAUCGCUGCAUUGAAUUUUUGAUGUUUGGGAACGUGAAUAAGUCGUUGUGACUUAGGUCGGGGCUAAACGGUGGAUGGUUUAACAAUUCGAUGUUUUGAAGCUCCAAAAACUCUAUUGUCUUUUGGACAGUGUGAGAACUUGCAUUGUCCUGAUGUAGGAUGGUUCGGCGUUGUAUGUUGCUUUGUCAAAGUUUCGCAAUAACUUCUGGUAAACAAACGGUUAUAUAGGUACCAAUCAGAAGUAACUGUUCUUUGAUCUCCUAAAGCACAAUUGUUGCCCCAUGACCAGAUUUUGACACAAAAGUUGCAACCAUUAUCUUCGACACACUUCGAGAACGGAUCAGUGGUGUUUGUUUUUCCUCAUCGAGGAACACCCACACAGUGGAUUGGUGUUUAUUUUCCGGUUCGUGGGAGUAAAUCCAAAAUUCAUCGCCACUAACAGUACUAUAAACGUCUUUUGAGCUUCGUUUGUUGAACCGUUCCAAUGUUUUUCGACACAAAUUGACGUGAACCGAUUUUUGCUCUUUUGUGAGCAAAUGAGACAUCCAACGGGAAACCAACUUCGUAACACCCAGUUCUUCAUGUAGGAUCUAUUGGAUCGAGGUCUUUGAAAUGUACAAAGAUGCCUCUAUUUCCCGGUAUGUUAAACGACGGUCAUCCUUAAUUAGGUGACGAACCGCAUCAAUGUUUUGCUGUGUGAUUGUUGUUUUGGGUGGACCUGGCCUGUAUUCGUCGCUGAGAGUUGAGAGAUCACGUUAAAAUUCGCAAUAUCAGCGGGAAAUAGUUGACUGGUGUCAUGCUUCAUUCCCAAACACAGAAACCAUUUCAGCGAGACAUUGCUGUUGGGAUAAUCCUCUCCUAAAAUUGUAAAAAAUUAUUGCUCGAAAAUGUUCUCGGCUAAGAUCCAUUUUUCGACUAACUUGCUAAUUUCAAAAAUUCACUGUAUCUACACGACUAUCGCAAUGAAACUCUGGAUUUAUAUCAACAAAAGAUUGAGGUUACUUUGUGGCGUCCUCUAAGCGGCUAUAUGCAAAACUAAAAAGACAAACCUCGUAGCAUGAUCGUGAUAAUAGUGGCGAUUGCGUAUAUGCUUCUUUCAACAGAAUAAGCGUACUUUUGAACGACUUUUGUCUCUUAUUUGUAACAAACGACGGUAGUACCUUGUAAAUUUAAAGCACAAAACUGGUCUUAGAUGAACCUUACAAUUUUAGCUCAAGUGAAGUAGGCUUUCACAAAUCAAUCUAAUUUGUUGUUUUCAAAUUUGAAUGAUUCGAUAAGUUUGUUGUAAAUAUGCAUAAAAUAUUAUGUCUAAGGAUUACACAAGCAGCUACACAAAGAAAAUAACUAAACUAAUGACAAGAAAACGGUCCAUCCAACUGUUUUCUUAAUUUGAUGCUAUUGAAUUUUUUCAUAAACCACUAAUUUAGUGGACUUUUUUUAUUUGAUGGAUCAACGAUUGAGUUAGUAAGUUGUAUGGUUUUUUUUAGUUGAAUUUUUUUCCAUACAAUAUUCAACUUUAAUCUAGUUUAAUGGAAGUAACUCCUUUUAGCUUAUAUCACUAACAAUAGUAAUCUAGAACCUAAUUCACGCUGUAGUCCUAAUAGUGCGAAAGAUUUUUGUGUUAUAUUUAAAUACUUAUUGUCACGUACAAUGGCCUGAAUGAGUAAAAAGGAUGCCCAGAAGUUUGGCGCUGUCUCUGUUAACCUAAAAAUAAAACCCAGGGAGGUCUUCUCUUUGAAUUUAAGGUAAACUAAGAAACCCUUUCAAGGAUUUUGAAGGACACAACGGCGAGGAGAUACUGAACCAGUUUAUUUAAAACAGAAUCAUACUAACUGAAACGAAAUUAGAUUUUAAAAAGUUAACUAAACAAAACGGGCGCCCCUUAUCUUUUUUCUGAGAGACAUGAAUUACUCGAGGAUCUUAGAUGUUAAAGGAUUCGUAAAAAAUUACAAAAAAAAACCGGAAGGAUAAAUAAGCAUUUAGAUUAUGUUUAUGCUGCGUUCGAAAAUGUUAAAUAAAACAUUAGGAAAUUUAUUUGAUAUACAGAGUGGACAAACAGUGCUGCAAUAUUUCGAAUGUAACAAAGAUAGGUAAAUUCGUCGUAUGAAAUUAAUGCAACAUUCUUAUUUCAUCAUCGUAAUGACAAGCAUGAAAAUAAAAAUGUAAGUUAAACAAUUACUGAGAAUUGAACUACGUGUAACAAUCGUCCCAUUGAUGUAGAAUGGGAAUCUUUUAUUGCAUUGAGUUUUUCUAGGUCAGAGAUCCUUCGUUUGUAACUUUCUCUGUAGCCAUAAACUUAUACGAUAAUAGUAUAUGAUGCAACGAGCAUUUAAUGAUGGUCAUUAUUAUGAUGCGAGUAUGACGGAUACGACACGAGCCGCGAAGCGGCAAGUUUCAUAUAGAAUACGAGCAUCAUAAUGACAAUGUAAUGCACGUUGUAUGCAGGAUUUUUUCUAUCAUCAUUCACAACAAAAAAAUAUAUUCAAAUUUAUUUUGUAACACAAACAAAUUAUGUAGUUAAUUAAUUAUUUUGUUGAUACAUUUAUGUUCUGAAUAUUACAAUUAUUAGAAUGAAUUUAAGGUUAAAUUUUCAAUAUAUUUAUCGUAUCAAAGCGUAUACAUUUGAAUUGACAUUUUUCAUUGCGCAAGCGCCACCUUUGAGACAGAGUUUCUAUUGGUUAAAAAACUAUUGAACGUCGAAACGUUAAUAAAAUCAUUUUUUUUUUUUUUAGUUAAAUUGUGGCUCUUUUCCCAUUUAGAAUAGUUGGUUAAAAAUCUGUAUCGUAAUGAAAAUCUGUCAUGAUGAAGCCCAUUUUGAUACCUUAUUAAAUUCAUAAUUGAUAUAUUAAGGUAUGAGAAUAGUCUUGUAUAAAUAUCUAUGUGCAAGAACAACCAUAGCCUUAAAAAUAAAUAAUCAAAUAGAAAGAGAAAACAGAAAAGAAAAAAUAAAAAACGUAUUUCGAUCGGAUCAUUGGCUUAUAAAAAAUUUUAAGAAAAUUAUUUAAGAAUUAUUUAUAUUUAAGAAAAAUUUUGGAUGGUUCGUUUUUUUUUAGUUUGAGUUUAAGAAAAAUUCACACAGUUAAUUAUUAUAUGUUUACACCUUGUAUGAACUGAAACGGAUAACUUAAGACUUAAACCAGACUGUGCCGAUUGUGGAAUACAAAAUAUGUUGACUUUGAUCGAGUUUUGGUUUUUAGGUUGAACAUAUUGAUUUGGACCAGUUUUCAACUUGUACUGAAAUAUUUUAGAUCGUAAAAGGGUAUUUGAACUAAAAGCCAAAACUUAAGGGGUCCGUACACUCAAUUCAAUAGAUAUGUUAGUACUAUAAAGCUAUAUAUGCGUAAAACAAGAGUCAAAAAGAUUAGAAAGCAUGAAAUAAGAAGUUAACGUUUGAUUUCAAGUAAUCGAAUGAACGAUCUUUCAAUAAAGUCGUCCCAGGAACGCCACUCAUAAAUAUUGGCAAUACCAGUUUAAAGUCAUCUACUUUAAAAUGUAUAAUAUAUGUCUGAAUUGUGUAUAUGAAUGAGACGGAUAAAAUUAAAUUAUUAGAAGAUAUUUUUUAUCAAGUAACAAAAACAGUAUAUGUGUUUAAUUUGUUAAAGUUUUGUAUUUUGAUAACGAUUUCCAAAGUCGAAAUAGAAACAUCAAAUAAAUUUAAUUUCAAAGUAAAAUUGUGGCUUAUUCCCAAUUAAAAUAGUAAAGUAUAUUAAAAUGCCACAAUAAAAUAGCUUCAGAACAAUAAUAUGGAAUUAGAAACAAUACAGAGACAAUGUCAGAAGUAUUUAUUUCAUACCAUGAUGAUGAUUUUUGUUUUACGUUGAACUGUUUUUAAAUUUUGUUUUCUUUUUUGCAAUAAGCGAUCUUCAAGAAUACGUAGUACUGACUUCUGUGCACUAUAACUAUUUGAUUUGCCUUUUAAAAUAAACUGCGAGGCGAAGUCAGGGAUAUAGAAAAUUAUGAUCAUUUUCAUAGUUGAUUUUUUCGUAAACAGAUUAACGGAUUCCGUUAAUUUUUUUAUUAUUUUAGAUUUUUCUUUAGUAUUUACACAAUUGUGCAAAGGUUUACUCAAACUUCUUUUUUAUACUUAUACCGGGUGGAGGAAAAGAAUGUUUUUUUAUGUUAAGUUUGAGACACCCUGUAGGGAGGAAAAGGUACAAAUGUGAGUACAGUCAAACCUGCCAUAUCCGGAUCAAUGUGGCGACAGACUGAUCCGGAUAUGAAAAAAUCCGGAUAUCAAGACCACUACUUCUUUUAUAGUCUCUGAAACGUUUUCUCCUUCAUACAUUCCAGUAAUCAACGCGUCAAUACCUUUCGUCGAAAGACACGUUUUAUAGAUUCUAUAAUACAUUAUUUCGCCAUCUUUUAGUUCUUCUUUUAGUGCGUUGUCCAACAGCAGGACUGCCUUUCUCGGUAGAUCCGGACGGCGCAGAACCGUCCGGAUAUGGGGAGGUCCGGAUAUGACAGGUUGUACUGUACAUCGUAAUCGUAUUUUAGUUAUAUGUUUUGUGAACAUUUUGUUUUUUGAAUGUCUUUGAUAUCUUUAGAAACAAAGACAAUAGACGGUUUUGUAGUUUAACAUGUGUUUUAACCGAAACAAAAGUUUGAUACACCCUGUAGGAAGGAAAAUGUACAAAGGUGGGUCAAAGGCGAAAAAGAUGUAAAAUAAUUUUAAAAAAAUUAGCCGAAUCCGUUAAUCUGUUCACGAAAAAAUCAACUAUGAAAAUGAGCAUAAUUUUCUAUAUCCCUAACUUAUGUCUCGCAGUAUAUAUAUUAUAUAUAUUUCUGCGUUUUGGAUUAGUUGUCCAAACUAGAAUUUUGAGUUUAUGGGCCCUUUGCCAAACACUUUAGGAUAUAUUCACUUGCUGAUGAUUGUAGAACGUAAGUUAAUAUAAUAAAUUCAAAAUAAUGAAAAUUAAUGAGUACCAAAAGCAUGGCACUGUAAAUAUAAUUAGUAAAAUUGUGUAUUAUGUGUUAAAAAGAAAAAAAUUAGUUUCGCCGUUGUUAAAUUGUAUGUACAUGUUUGACUUUUUAACAUAGUGGACUUUUUUUAUUCAAGUUUAAGAAUACGUCGAUAAAAUUUUUAAUGUAGAUCUGUUUUUUCUAGAAAGAAAGUGUACAUUUAAAAUACCACAGGUAAAUCAGAGUAAAAGUUAAGAAAUAGAUGUAAAGUAUAGAAAAAUAACGUUAAAUAGUGUUUUUAAACACACUCUUACAAUUGAAUAGUUUAACCAAAAAACAUAUGGCGUUUUAUGAUUAGUUUUGUAUAUUUUAACCCUGACUUAUAAUAACUAGUAAUCAUCGUGACAUUUGAAAUACAAUUUUUAAAUAAUGAUAAACUGAUAUUGUAUUUUACGUCAUACUAAUAGCACACUUUUUGGAUUAGACAGUCAUUAAGACAAAAACAGUUUUUGAUGGCUUAGUAAUAACUAAAUAUUAAUAGUAUAAACGCUGUAGUUGAAUUCGCAUAUAACUGUCAAUUUAAGUAUCCAAGCAACAUAAUUUGCAUUAAUGUACUCUGUCCCUGGCUUCUUUGCACAUGCGUCAUAUUCAAUUUAUACGUUCAAACAGUUAACAUCUAAUGUCUAUCGUGACUGUAGGAAUAGGACUUUUCAUUACAAAAGAGUGUCAGCCAUUUUUUUCGUAAACAAAUAUGUUAGGUUAGGUUAGUUAAACAGUUAUGAGCGUGCUAAUAACGCAAAAGAUGGAAAACAUAUUAAGUUAUGAGAUAAAAAGAAAUAAAACUAGUAGAAUUAUGAAAUUUAGCGAUGAAAACCUAUAAAUUUACAUUAUAUUUAUUGUUUUUCAUCUUAUAGAUAGGUGUAUCAGAGGAGUAUUCAACUAAAAUUAUCACAGUUACAGUGGCAGUUGCCAAACUCGUCCGAUACGUCUAAAGGUGGGAAACAAUAAAUAGAAUGUAAAUUUAUAGGUUUUUACCGCUAAAUUUCCGAACUCUACUAGUAUCAUUUCUUUUGUUUUCCAUCUUUUGCGUUAUUUUGCCGGUUAUUAGCGCGCUCAUCACUGUAUAGCGGGCGGGCUAGAUCAGGUGGUAGAUGUCUGAUUUCCACGCAGGUAGGCCGGAGAUCGAAAUCCAAUGCCGACGAGAACAUCUAGACAUUUUUAAAAAUGUCUAUAGGCCCCAGGUCGACUCGGCCUGAAUAAAAUGAGUAUCUUGGGUAAACCCAGGGGUAAUAAUAGGCGGUUGAAACGUAGCACUGACCCUGUUACCUUCCUUGUAUAGCGUAGGCCCUAGAUAUAUCAGACUACCCUGCUAUAAUCCCAAAGCCGCGUUAGAGAUAUAAAACGGGAGACUAUUAUUAUUAGGUUAGUUAUAUAAAUAACAAUAAAGUGCAUCUGAACAUAUAAUAUCGCAUCUGUAGGAAAAGGAACAACUAAAUGGUGUCGUUAUGAAAUAUAUAACAGUGAUAUACACUGUAAAUAUUUUAAAGACAAUACAUAUUAUUUUUUAAAUGAAUUACUUCAUAAACAAUCUCGUGCUAUAAGUACCUACAAUAUUUUAUUGUAUUAAAUACUAUUCAGUACAUGCAUUUGUCAUAACAUAAUACUGUCUAUGAUUUUAUUGAUUAAAUACCAUAAUGAUGUUGCUAAAUUAGCACCUAUAUUUCGGCAAUUAAUUAAAAUCGGUUGACAUAAUUAAUUACAAUAAAAAAUUAUAUAAAUAAUUAUUUGAACAGUAAACAACUAAUGGUGCAUAACCUCUCAAUUGAUUAGAACUGUACGAAAAACACGGCGACUGCGCAUGCGCUCGUCAUUUGAUCAAAAGGCAUACUAGGAUUGUGACUGACUUGAGUGGCACAUAGACAUAAUAAGAAUUGUCUAGGUAAGGUAUGUGCCGGUCUAUCAAUAGAGGUAGAAACGUCAAUAUUCACUUUGAAGUGAUCUUUGUGGGGUGGAGCUUUCUGUGUCUGUGACACGCACGUGUAAAGAGAGAUAGAGAGACCACCAAAUUGAGUUCCCCGCGUUUCACUAUUUUGCUCACGAUGUCUUGUCUAUUCUUAUUCUGUCUAUGGAGUGGCAAGUGUCAAUGCGAAUGCAAAAUGUGAACGUAACUGUCAACGGACUUUCUGAUUUAUUACAAAUCUUCAUUAGGGCUUCCGUUAUAAAAUUUACGAUUAAACAGCCCCAGGCCAAUUAGAUCACUUAGUAUUAUUCACACAGAAAUAAUUAUAAAGAUCAUAAAUAAAGGUAAUAACACGACGAGAUCCAGAAUACCGAUAUGUUAGCUAACUGAAUUGAGCAAAAGAACAAGAAUUGACAUAAAAAUGUUUAAAUUAAGAACUAGUAUUGACAUAAAUAUUAGUUAAUUAAUAAGCAUUAAUUGAAUACAUAAAUAUUAAAAUUGUCUUUAGAUACUGGUAGAAUUAUUUUUGAAAAAAAAAUAUAAGUUCAAGGUACUAAGAUUCAUUUAAAAUUUGAGUAGGUAAACAUUUUCAAAACUUCCAAGAAGACAGUAGGUGAAUUAUCCACCAUCCCUCACGAUAACGCUGUCUUUGUUUGAUGUACAAUAUAUUCAAGAAUAACUUCAUGUAUAUGCAAAGAACCGGGGAUAGACUAUUACUAUACCUUUUGUACUUUUCAGCCAUCUAGUUUAGAUAUUUGUCAUUUUCGAUUUCUUCAGUAGCAAGUUUUUUUUGCUUUUAACAAGUGUAUAUGCCUUCGAAACGCCUUAUUAGAAUAUAGGCUUUAGGUAAUAAACAUCUACCAGGUAUAUCCUUGAUACAUACUUAAUUAAUUUAUUUAGAAAAAACUAAAAAAAACUAUUUUUUGAAUAUUAAUUGAAAAUGGUUAUUCAUUUUUAAUUUAUUUAGAAUUUUAAGAAAUUUUUGUAUACAGUGAUGAGUGCGCGAAUAACUGGCAAAAUAACGGAAAAGACAGAAAACAUAAUAUGUUAUGAAAUAAAAAGAGAUGAAACUAGUAGAGGUGGGAGAUUAUCAAUAGAAAACUAUAAAUUUACAUUAUUUUGGUAGUUUCACACCUUUAAACGUAUCGGAGUCAAACUGUCACAGGAGAAUUUUAUAAAGGCGGUAUUUACGAAUCUCAUUGAUAGAUCACAUUAAUACAUCACAAAAAAUUGUCGGCCAUGAUGGCAAGUUGCUUUGUGUACUUGUUUUUGGUACUCGUUGUAGGUAUUACACGAUGCUGGUUUUAUAUUUGGGUGAAAGUUAAAAAUUAUAAAGAAAGCCUGUAAUAUAUUUGUUGCUUAAUAGUCUUACGAAAAUUCAGUGAUUUAGAAAGAACUGUAAGAUUUUUUAGUGUAGUCUUAACAUAUAUUUAUUUCUAUAUGUCUAUGUUAUAAUAUUAAUUACGCUGAUUAAUAUAGUGAGAUUUUUUAUAUAUACACACACGAUAGAUUAUUUUUAUUAAUUUUCUUUGUAGAAUAUAACUUUGGAGUAGUGAUUAAAAGUUUGGUUGAAGGAGUACCAUCAAGUUAUCUUUUUUGAUUAUCCAUUUUUAUAUUAUUUUAAACUAUAAAAGUUAUAUUCUUUUGUUACAUAUGGAGAACAGUAACAAGCUCUUUUAAGAAUUGUAAAAAGUAAAAUUUUACAUAUUUCAAAAUAAAUAUUGGCGAAACUUUUAUUUACAAA
Molecule: unclassified non-coding RNA, 10699 nt
Filed under: Diabrotica virgifera virgifera (western corn rootworm)
Lineage: Eukaryota; Metazoa; Arthropoda; Insecta; Coleoptera; Chrysomelidae
Description: aDP-ribosylation factor-like protein 8
Source: RNAcentral